Molecule: ribosomal RNA, 348 nt
Filed under: uncultured Helicobacter sp.
Lineage: Bacteria; Pseudomonadati; Campylobacterota; Epsilonproteobacteria; Campylobacterales; Helicobacteraceae
Description: bacterial SSU rRNA
Rfam family: Bacterial small subunit ribosomal RNA
Source: RNAcentral
GACGGGUAUCCGGCCUGAGAGGGUGAACGGACACACUGGAACUGAGACACGGUCCAGACUCCUACGGGAGGCAGCAGUAGGGAAUAUUGCUCAAUGGGGGAAACCCUGAAGCAGCAACGCCGCGUGGAGGAUGAAGGUUUUAGGAUUGUAAACUCCUUUUGUUAGAGAAGAUUAUGACGGUAUCUAACGAAUAAGCACCGGCUAACUCCGUGCCAGCAGCCGCGGUAAUACGGAGGGUGCAAGCGUUACUCGGAAUCACUGGGCGUAAAGAGUGCGCAGGCGGGAUAGCAAGUCAGAUGUGAAAUGCUAUGGCUUGACCAUAGAACUGCAUUUGAAACUGUUAUUCUA